Pomacea canaliculata is the source of this 2877-nucleotide long non-coding RNA. RefSeq lists it as uncharacterized. The record is from RefSeq and is a predicted model, not a curated record. Lineage: Eukaryota; Metazoa; Mollusca; Gastropoda; Architaenioglossa; Ampullariidae. The transcript has 2 exons.
GUGUGUCUCUGAAAGCCAACCACAGCUUUUGAUUUCCUGUUGUGUUCUAUAUAUUUUACCGCUGAGUUCCCACAACAGCUAACAUCAGUUUGUUUUUGUAUACAAGUAAUUACCACCACAAUUUUGGAUAUUAUUCACUUUAUACAAUAAUGACAGAUGAAAAGCGUUUCCUACUAAAUGUCCCCCAAAACCUACAUCAGAGUGCCUCAUGUGAGUAGAUCCUCCAUAUUUAGCUUUUCAAGUGCACAAAUUCUUAUAAGUGUUAUAGCUCUGUUGCCAGCGGAAAAUGUACAGGACAUAGUAAUAUCCAGACGAUCCGCUUAGUACAGCGCUAUCUUCCAUGACAGAUGUUUCCUGCUGACCCUCGUUUGCGACGGUUUUGAGGAAGUGAAAGGCCUCACUGUUCCCCCCUAAGCCCCUCUUUCCUCUGUCUUAUGGCAUCUCGCUUCAGUUCCUGUUUUCCUGCCUUCAUCCCUGUUCUGAUGUUGCUGUUGACCUCUCGAUACUGACCGGGCCCUGCGGGGUCUUCCUCUCAUUCGUUAUACCCCACCUGUGGUCACAAAAGUCGAGAAACUCAUUUGUGACCGAGGUCUGUUUGUUUUCGGGGACCUUAGUUCCUCUUCUGCUGUGGACAGGAAUUUCUCAUUGACGUUGUCAAAACAGGUUUACACAGGGGCUUGGAUUGGUUCGUUUUUGGUUUUUUUUAAGUUUAAAAAGCUGUAAAACUGUUCUGCACUACGUUUAAGAACAUUCUAUAAUAUUGUUUUUACUUAAUAUACUAAAGAUCUAAAUGGGGCUAAAAUUGUAAAUGUUUUAUGAAUAUGGCCUCGGAUUAUUUGGAGGAGGAAGGAAAGAAAGGUUCAGGCAGGUGCCUCGCUAGACAUGGGAGAGGAGAAAGAGAGCGAAUCGUGGAUGGGGUCAGCCUCAGUGAGCACCUUCACAUCGCAUCAGUAAUUUAUUCUUCUCCUAGUCAAACCAUAACAUGUAAGGAUAUUUUUUCAGUUUCUCUGAAACUUAAACGUACUGAAGCUUAUUGUGUCCUUUCAUACUGUAACAUCUCCGCAGUACAGCAUGAAGGCGAAGUGCCGCUCAUAGAGGAGGUCGAAAUAGGUGGUCACGUGGUACAGACUGGGCGAGAUGACGUCGAUGAUUAGCAAGGUGAGAGGAAUUUCCAGCAUGUUAACAGGCUUCUUGAUAUGACUUAGGCAGGUAAGACAAACACAAAAAGUUAUCGUGUGUAUAACCGCAAAAGGGUUAAAGUAGGCGACGGAGCGUCUUUUAUUCAUUAUUCCCCGUGUAAGGUUAACUUCACCUGUCGUCUCGCCGGUGUAUUUUGUCGUCUAGCGUGUGCGCUUUCACUAAAAUGACCACCCGGACUCAGUAAUCGAUCCGAUGAGAAUAAUAUUUACGACUCACUUGAACUAGCGCACGAAAUUGAUGAUGGCUUUCGAUUAAGCAAAUACUGCAGCAUCGUACAGAGAAGCAAUGGCAGUUGCGGCGUCAUAAAUGUCGUGGCGGACAUACUUCCAAGUAAUACGAAAAGCUUCUUGUCGUACAAUUCGGGCUUUGACUAUGCACUAAGUGGUACUUCAUCUGCCAGGCAUAACUGGAGAUACAGAGGAAGUGGCGAAGAUAGACCAGCGUUUCUGGACCCUUUCCGCAGGAUGUCAACGAAGUGCCGCCGAUAGAGCAACUCGAGCUAGGGGGUCACUCAGUACAAAUUGGGAGAGUUGAAGUCGAUUAUGAGCAGGAUGUCCAGAAAGGUACUACUUACAUUGAUACAAAAAGACUGUGUUGGUAUUCAGAUGAAGUGGUAGACAUAAAAUUUUAGUUCACCGGUCUCAGCGCUAAUCGACUUUAGCGGACUUUUCACCUGAACAUCCGGAUUGCCACUUAGGACCUUAAUAGAAGUUAAGACAAAACUAAGUCAGACUUAGGACCUAGCAUGUAAACCAGGCCUGUGGUAUUAGUCACCUCUAAGGUCGGCGUCCAUUGUAUAUAGCAAAUUUUGCGAUUGUAAUGUUCAUCUUGAAAUACAUGCACUGUGAGACUAUGUCGUACAAAUAUAAACCACGAAGCUGUGGUUAAAGUGGUUUCAUCAAAAGAGCCAAAGAAACUGCAAGUGUAUACAAUGUACAGGUUUUGCGACAGGUAAAAUAUUUCAUUCGUACAGUAAAUAGAGCGAAUCUAUAAGCAAGUUGGUCACAAACUUUUUGAGUUGUGUGACAAUUUAUUUUCAGACACGUGAACUGGCCUUUCAAUGGUUAAUUCUUUUUCUUCUUUCUAAUCAUCCCCAGUGCAGCAUAUGGCUUCAAUGGUUAAUAGGUUGAUAAAAUGUCAACAUUAAUGUCUGCAUAAUUAGCUUCAAAAAUCAAGGAUAUAUAUAUAUGGCCUAUAAUAUCACAAAUAUGGUGAAGUAAUUAUACUUACAACUAUUGCACAUCCAGCUCUCCAAAUUAGAAAAAAAUGUAUUCUAAGUGUCGGGUUUUUCACAGAACAUUUAAUUUUACAGUAUUUAUCAUGGUAAUUAAUUAAAUUUGUUUUUUCAACAUAAUUAUACACACCCAUGCAAACACUGACACUGUCACACGACGUAAGUUACCUCCGUGUGAGAGAGAGAAAGAAUGAGUGCGUGUGUGUUGGGAGGAGGGCUGGAUGGAUCGAUAGAAGUGUUCCUGAAAUCAGAUUAAUUUUAAAAUUAAAAAAUGAUGAUGAUGAUGAUGAUGAUGAUAAUAAAAACUGGAGUUUUGUUCCUUACUUAGAUUACUCUGCAACUGUCAAAAGUUAUAUCAGCAAUUUCGUUUAAAAUAGCAUAUCCCAUCUAUGUCUCUGUUGUUAUGUGACACUUUUUGACAUUAAUAAAGUUUAAGAAAGUUC